RNAcentral lists this ribosomal RNA (253 nucleotides) under uncultured bacterium. Its description in RNAcentral is "partial 16S ribosomal RNA". It matches the Rfam family "Archaeal small subunit ribosomal RNA", at positions 474 to 727 of the family's 1478-position model. The record is from RNAcentral.
UACCAGCACCCCGAGUGGUCGGGACGUUUAUUGGGCCUAAAGCAUCCGUAGCCGGUUCUACAAGUCUUCCGUUAAAUCCAACUGCUUAACAGGUGGGCUGCGGAAGAUACUAUAGAGCUAGGAGGCGGGAGAGGCAAGAGGUACUCGAUGGGUAGGGGUAAAAUCCGUUGAUCCAUUGAAGACCACCAGUGGCGAAGGCGGCUUGCCAGAACGCGCUCGACGGUGAGGGAUGAAAGCUGGGGGAGCAAACCGG